RNAcentral lists this ribosomal RNA (253 nucleotides) under uncultured bacterium. Its description in RNAcentral is "partial 16S ribosomal RNA". It matches the Rfam family "Bacterial small subunit ribosomal RNA", at positions 524 to 776 of the family's 1533-position model. The record is from RNAcentral.
UACGUAUGGUGCGAGCGUUGUCCGGAAUUACUGGGCGUAAAGAGCUCGUAGGUGGUUUGUCGCGUUGUUCGUGAAAACCGGGGGCUUAACCCUCGGCGUGCGGGCGAUACGGGCAGACUUGAGUACUGCAGGGGAGACUGGAAUUCCUGGUGUAGCGGUGGAAUGCGCAGAUAUCAGGAGGAACACCGGUGGCGAAGGCGGGUCUCUGGGCAGUAACUGACGCUGAGGAGCGAAAGCGUGGGGAGCGAACAGG